RNAcentral lists this transfer RNA (62 nucleotides) under Miltogramma oestracea. RNAcentral describes it as "tRNA-Arg". Lineage: Eukaryota; Metazoa; Arthropoda; Insecta; Diptera; Sarcophagidae. The record is from RNAcentral.
GAAUAUGAAGCGAUUUAUUGCAAUUAGUUUCGACCUAAUUUUAGGUAUCUUACCCUUAUUCU